This 309-nucleotide non-coding RNA is filed under the name Longilinea arvoryzae. Its description in RNAcentral is "cspA thermoregulator". It matches the Rfam family "cspA thermoregulator", at positions 114 to 428 of the family's 428-position model. Lineage: Bacteria; Bacillati; Chloroflexota; Anaerolineae; Anaerolineales; Anaerolineaceae. The record is from Rfam by way of RNAcentral.
CUAAUUUUUUCUCAAACAAUAUUUAGAUGGAGUAAAGCAAGCAUGUCAGAACGUUUCGUUGGGACCGUUAAGUGGUUCAACCCCGCUAAGGGUUAUGGUUUCAUUGGCCGCGAAGACGGCGAGGAUGUUUUCGUUCACUUCUCCGCUAUCGAAAUGCAGGGCUAUCGCCAAUUAAAAGAAGGCCAGAAGGUCGAAUUCUCUGUCGAGAAGGGUCCCAAGGGCCUGCAGGCUGCGAACGUAACUCCCGUAGAAGAGUAGUUCCGCUCACACGCACAUUUCAAUCCCCCGCCAUCCGGCGGGGGAUUGUAU